Molecule: long non-coding RNA, 4313 nt
Filed under: Sus scrofa (pig)
Lineage: Eukaryota; Metazoa; Chordata; Mammalia; Artiodactyla; Suidae
Description: lncRNA (ENSSSCG00065005461.1)
Source: RNAcentral
GGAAGCGGGAUGUAGCUGGUCCGGAACUGCUCCACCAUGACCCAGAAGUUUGCUGCUCCCCACAUGAAAACGUUCUUCCUGCUUUUUCAAAUCAGGUGACCGUUUCUAUGCUCCUCUUAGAACACUGAGACUGGAUGAAAGGUCGCCAAAAGCCCAUCUUUAAACAGUUGAAGGCCCAAUCAGAGUGGGAUCAAGGGAAAUGUCUACACUUCUACAAGGAGCCAGUUUGGGAUCAGGUAAUUUGCACGUUUGAACUGCAGCAGUUGAAUAUUAUGGAAGGCCUUCAUAAAGUUGAGCAGAGUUGGAUGUGCGUGCAAUUGCAAAAGACAGAGGAAAAAAUCAAAAUGAACUACUUGAAGAAGAAGAAAGAAAGAUUUAGGAAAAUAAUAGAAAUAAAAUCAAUCAAAAUAAGUAGCUGCAGUUUGCUGAUAUUCUUCUGAACAGAACAUUGGGAAGAGACCCACGGAUGUGAUCAUUGUGAGUGUUUGAUGCUAUGGGAAGAAAUAAUUUUUCUAUUUUGCUGUUAUUACUAAAUUAUUGCUGCAUUGUGCUUAACUCAUACUGUGUAAGUCAUCUAAUGAAGAUUCAUUUCUAUCUAAUUUUUCGUUUUGAGAUAUAAGUGCUGAUAAUGCCAAGAAACAUGAGAUCAUAAUUGCCUAGUAAUAUGCAGUUUUUCAGACUCAUACUGAUUCAAAAUCUGAUUCAGGGACUUUUAUUUUUUAUUGAAUUAUUUUUACUGAAAUAUUGUUGAUGUACAAUGCUAUGUUAGUUUCAGGUGUAUAGGAAAGUGAUUCAGUUUUCUGACCCUUUUCCAUUAUAGGUUAGUAUUGAAUACAGUUCCCUGUGCUAUACACACUAGGUCCUUGUUGUUUAUGUUAUAUAUAGCAGUAUGUAUCCUAACUUAUACUUCCCUCCCUACUUUUAAAUUUACAUUUUAAAGAAGCACUCCCACAUGAUUCUUAUGCAUACAGCCAAUUUGGAACCACCAGAAAAAGGGCUUUUAGUAAUCGCUAUAUGUUGUGAGCCACACGAGAAGUCCAGUAAUCGCUGUAUGUUAAACACUUCCAGAUCUUAAGGAAUACUGUAAAGCUGUUAGGAGUACACAGGUGGUUGAGAACUUUGCUUUGCUAUCAGUGAAAAAGGCAGCUCUAUGAUAUUGUCUGUGGCUUGAGGUAUAAUUAUGACAUUGCCUGCUGAGAAAGGCAAAACCAUUCUGUUGACAAUCCCAGAAGGCUCAAAGGUAACUGGAGUUGCCAAGUAGGUUACGAAAAGCAGCUUUGCUUUGGGGGUUGUUGAGUGAUUCUUGCCGCAGAUGGGGUUUUUAGGGCCUUAUCAAGUUCCCUGAAGGCACCGAGACAGGACAUUUCCCCCAUUAAGUGGUAUGAAUCACUACAGGGAUCAUGAAAAACACAAAUGAAAGCCAGAUAGAAGUGCAAAUGCGGGUCUCAAAUAUUGAUCCUGUGGUCAGAAUUUCCUAUGAUACAUCUUUUAUUCUUAUUUCAUUUUAUUUAUAUGAAACCAUGCUUAAAAAAAAAAAAACCCGCCAGAUGCUUUUAAAUUUUGUAUUGCUCAUUUUUCUAUUAUUUGGUGACUCUAUGUAUAUGAUUUUAAAAUCUAAGUUUAUAGUGUGCUCUUUUCCUGUAUAACCAUGUUUUAAAGUGUACAAUGACAGCUAAGUUCAGUUGUAGAAACAUCAAUAAAUCCUCCAGAGCCAGCAGUAGCAAGGCUCAGCAGUAAGGAAGGCCCAUCCUCCUUGUUAGUUUCUACCAACCUCAUUAGCUAGAUCAGGGUCUCCAAAAGGAAGAGCCAGGUCUGUGGAAACACCCUAUCCAUGAGCUCCCCAGGCAGACAGGUGGCUCUCAGGGGAUCCGUUUCCAGAACCUCAAUCAUACAUAACAUAUCUCAACAUUAUCUGAGAACCUCCCAAGGUUCCACCUUUGCUUCACUUGACAAAGAAAGGCUAACCUCUCUCCAAGGCUAAUCUUACUAUGAUGCAAUUCCUAGAUUAAGAAAACCUCCAUGAUGCAAAUAAAGAGAAAUGUGAACUAUUUUGCUGAUAUUGAGAAAAUGAAUGCCUCUAAUGACUAACAUAUCCUUUUUCAUUUCUAAAUGACUUCAAAAUCUUUGCUUUCAGCAAAAUUGAAGGAAUACUAACCAAUAGAUAAUUAAAAAUGCUUCUUGGAUUCCACUGUGGCUCAGUAGAAACGAAUCUGACUGGUAUCCAUGAGGAUGCGGGUUUGAUCCCUGGCUCUGCUCAGUGGGUUAAGGAUCCAGCAUUGUGGUAAGCCAUGGUGUAGGUCACAGACAUGGUUUGGACCCCAAGUGGCUGUGGCUUAGGCCCAUGGCUGCAGCACCAAUUUGACCCCUAGCCUGGGAAUGUCCAUGUGCCACAGGUGUGGCCCUUAAAAAAAAACACUUCUUGAUAGAUUGUUGUGUGAUGUUUGGCAUGCAAGUGGCAAGGAAUUGAAAGAAUUGAGUGAUUUUACCAGAACAAAAUUCACUACAGUCUCAACUCACUGACAUGAACAAAUUUCCUGAGCCACUUACAUAAAAAAUAAUUUAAAAGAGCAAUGAAAUUGAUGUGGAAUUUUCAUUUAUACUUAUAUAUAUUUUUUUGUUUCAGAAAAUCAAGAUUGGUUAAAGACUGUCAAUCACAAAAUAUUUUAGGAUAAAUUCUGGGGACAAAGUGAAGUGGGGAGGAAGGAAGAAAUUUUGAACUUUUAAAAAAGAAUGUUUUCAACUUUUCAGUAUAGAUAUGACAGCAUCAAAUCUUUGUGACAUUUACAUCCCACUGGACAUAUUUUCAAAUGUAAAGUUAAAGUAAUAAAUGUCAGUAUUUAAAACAUACCAGAAAAUAUGUCAUUUUCAACUACUGAGAGUGUCUAAAUAUGUUAAAUGUUGAAAAUUUAGAUAUAAAUUUAAUUUUUUUAAUGUUAGGAGGGCACAUAGUUUUUCGAAAUUAUAAGAUAAGAAGCAAAACACUUACAACCCCUGAUGGGGCAGUAAUGAUCUGCAAAUGUCUGGAUUGCUAAGUGGGUUGUCAUGACGGCAGAGGGAUCCUGAUGCUGGUGGUUCAAGGACUGCAACUUGCCAAGGAGUACGUUUUCAUCCUCCCGAGUUUUGGGAAACAGUGGUUCAGAGGUGUGGCUUUAUCUAUAUGCAUAUGCUAGUAAUACAAUAGUACUUCCCUUCCAGUUUGAAUCCUUUACCCUGUAGGAUAAAGUUUUAUUACUUCCUUACUGGUAUCCAGAUAUCUCCUCCUAAAGUCCAUCAUGAUAGUAGCUUAAAGCCAUAAAAUCUGCUAAGUUCAAAUGAGCAGAGCUUCACCUGUAUUGCCUUCCACCUGAACAUUCAUUCAUUCAUUCAGAGUCUAGGAUGGGACCUGAGGAUCUGAAGAAGAAUCAGACAAGCUCCAAGUCCUCAAGUAGCUCCCCAUCAAAUGAGCCAUGGACACCAAUAUUUUUCAUACAUUGGAUAAACAGCAGAACAGAGAAAAGACUGAAAGACUUUGGAAACACUGGAAGCUGAGAUAUGGAGGCUUUGAGGACCAGGGAAGAGAGCCAGAGGAGUCAGAGAGAGCAAAUGGGGCAAAGACAAUUAUGCCUGAGACUCUUCCCAGACACGCAGGGCGGCUCCUUCCCUACCCAGGAAAUCAAAAUUUGGAACUUAGAAAUACAGAAGUCACGGAAAAAGAAGUUGUUGAUUUUGAGAGUGCUGCUGAUGUAAAGAUAUUUAAAGUUGGAAUAAACGGUGAACUGAAUGUCCUCUUUGGAUGCUAUGAUUAGUUGGUCAUUGGACUGGUAUGAUGAAUAUCCAGGAAAAUGGCAUUUAAAAGUUAAGUCCAAAUGAGGAAAAUCUUUUUUAAAGUGUUCAGCUCACUUAAUAUUUGGAAAUAAUAAGAGGUGAGAGAAAUAAAAUAAUGCUAAAAUAUUGCUUAUGAGAAACUUCUCCUGAUGAAAUCUUCCUAUUUUAAUAAAAAGCUCCAGUUUGAAAAGUGAUCUAUUAACUGUUUAAACUUAAUUUCUUGAUUACUAUAUUUUGUAACCUUGAAAUAGGGAAGUUCUCUUAAUCUAUUUAAAUGUAUCUUGACUUGCUUGAGUAAGAAGUAACUAAACAAGAAUGAUUUCCUUAAACCUUAAUGAUUUUUUAAAUAACUCAUUGAAUUUUCUCCUAAAUGUACAGAUACAUGUGUAAAUGAAAGCUGGGGAUGCUGUACAAAAUAUGAUUGCUUCAGUAUACAUCUUUAUGUCUUUGUGUUGCUCUGUUAUCAAUUCUAACUGUCCUUUUAAUGUAAAUACAUAUUUAACUGUGUC